UCGCCGCCAUGACCUCCCUCCCGAGCGCGCGUCGUCCGGCCCUCUUCCCCAGCGCGUGUAGACAGUUCAACAUGCAACCAUGGGCCGUUCAAUGUCUCCGCCGUGGACAUGCCCCUCUACCUCCUUCUGGUUGCCUGUCACCCUGGUGUGGCCAGGGCGUUUGGGUUCGCUGCCGCUGCGACCAGCAGUCCAACCCGGCCGCCCUAGGUAGUUCACCCGUCGCAGCUCCCAGGGACAGAGAAGUGAGCAAAAGGAGAAAUUGAUCAAUUGCUCAUUAUGCAACGGUGGUUUUCCUAUGCACAUGUUGACACAAUGUAUCAUCAAAAUGGGUAUGAUCAAAAUUCCUCUCAUAGGAUUUGCUAUAAAAUGUGUACAUCUUUGUAGGCUUUUUCAGUUGCUAGCAAAAAUAUAUUUGUAGAAUUCAAGAUAAAAAGUGAAAUCAGUUAGUUGAUGGAAAAUAAUUCACUUAGAUAUGUAUACACUGCAGUAGCAGUUCGAAUCAAAAAAAUUCUACAGUUUGUUAGACCAAAACUAGAAACACAUAUUGUGGUUUAGGGCCUAGACAACAAAAACUUCAGUAACUAAAUCAUUUCUCCACUUAGAGCAAUUUUCAUGUGUGAUCUGUACUUUAGGUGCUAAUAUAAGAAUUUGUGUCCUCAGGGAGUUCAUGUAUUACUACCAUAGGAGUUCAAAAACUACACAAUGAAAAAGUUCGCCCCACAGUACGUUUAAACAAAGAUACUCUAGAACGUUUAUUGGAAAGAAUACUUAACAUGAGCGGCAUGUUUGUUUUAGUGUGCCUAAAGAAUGGCCCGAGGACACAAAUGUAGCCUUUCUUCACUGUUUCUCUUGCUUAUUAAGAUCUGAAUUCAUAACUUAUCUUGAACUAGAUGUUGCUGCAGUUUGGGGAUUUUAUAUUAUAUGUCAUUUGGGGAUUUUAUAUUAUAUGGCAUUUGGGGAUUUUGCAGCAGUUUGCCAAUAAAGGUUUACACCUCUUUAGAUUAUGAAAAGCUAGCAAGUUCAGACUCUGGAAGGAGAGACCAUCGUUUGUUAAGGUCUGGUCUUUAGUUGGUGGUUAUGUGGUACCUACACCAUCACUUUGCAUCAAGACCUCAAGAAGAGAUAUCAUCUCAAGGUGAAAAAAAAUCCUUUUACUGGUCUCUUUCUUCUCUCACUCAUUCAUCUUAUUAUAUGCACACAAAAUUCAUGUCAUCCUGAAUUUGUUACACUGGUGCGGGAGCAAGAAGUAGAUGCACAAGUUCAUCUUCAGUGACACACUCGGUUCAAAUUCUAAUUUUUAGUUAGUACAAUUCUUAUUUGUUUACUUCAGCGCCGAUUUCUGACUUCCUCGGCCAUCACCACCACCUCAUGUAAGUUCACUACUGAGAUCAAGCACGACCACCUACAGUCUCAGGUGGUCGCCUUGGCCGCCCUCGGCCACGAGCUCGUCCACCAUGGUUACUCGCAGCCGUCCAAGUGGAGCACGGACAUCAGUCCAUGUAGAAUUGAAGCCACCAUCUUCACCAAGCAGAAUAGUUGUGCUAGUUCAAUUUUUUUAGUCCAUCUUCUCUGUGCUAUUCAGUACAUCUAAUGCCAAAUCAUAAAUACAAUUGCCUCAUCUUCAUAUAACAUUCAGGAAUUCAAUUUAUAAUGUUGUUUACUGUCCUAAUUUUUUGGUACCAGGUGAAGUAAUAAUCAUCUACAUUUCAGAAGAGUUGCCAACCAUUAGCACUGUACUCUAGCUAGGCAAAAUGCAUAUUGUCUAUAGUUUAUUUUUAUAGUACUGCUGUGAAUGUAGACACAUAAUUACCUCCUAGAGUAAUUAUGCCUUGCAUGAAGCUUAAGCAUUUUCCUCAUCAAGAAGCAGCUGUUGGAUGGAUGUUGAAUCGAGGGCAAAACUCUAAGCCCUUAAUGCAUACUCUGUGCAAGAAUUUCUCCAAAGAGGAUGGCUUUCUUUACUUCUUAAUUGUUAGAACUCCAUUUAAUUUAGGGGCCGCAUGCCCAAGCCGUUCACCUCCGCCACCGUAACUUGCUGGCUUUGAUCUUCCGUGGAAGCAUGAAUGAUCAGUACUCCCUUUAAUCAAUGUGCGCUCAUCGAGCCAUAGUAGCAUCUCAUUUGUCCUAAAUUCUUCCACUCUUUGGAAAGAAAGACCCAGAAUGGAUGUGAACAGAGUAUACUCCCAUGGUUUUGCGAGAAAUCGUACAAUCAGAGUACCAUAGUACAUGUGUGUAUUGUGAUUUUAAUUGUGAGUUGGAGUUCAGAAAUAAGAUAACAAAAAGGUACAUAAAAGAACCCAAAAGCAUCUGGUACUUCUUGAAACCUAAAGUUCUGUUCAACAUGUUUUUUAUCAUCAACUCGUUAAGAACCCCACAAAUGGUUCAAUGUGUGUGUUCAAAAAGAUAGCUGGCUAUAUAUAAAAAAUCAGUAGCUCGUCAAAAAGGAGUUCAUAUCAGUUCAGGCUUUAGAGGCCUUGUAAAAUCACCAGUCUUUGAACCUUUAACCUGUCAUUAUAUUGCUGACUCCCCUAUAUGUAGGUGCUUGUCCAGCAGGCUAUAGAAGGCUAUAUAUAAAUGUUGUUUUUGAUGUCUUGUAGUACAUAGAAGGCUUAAAAAAUCAUGUUUAUCUAGUUGAAAAUUUGGAUGUUAUGUAGGUACUUGUUAGGACUUGGCCACGAGCUCGUCCAGCAGGGGUGCUGGCAGCCGUCCAAGUGGAGCAUUGAAAACAGUACAAGUAGAAUCACAGGUUGCAGCCACCAACUUGACCAAGUGCUGCACAUCCGUCCAAGUCGAGCACACACACACAGGGAGAACACCGGCGCCUUUGCUUUGCACAUUGCUUGGUCAUGCAUAAUUGCUGAUGGAUGCAGCAAGUGUUUUAUUACUUUGAUCUUCUACAAGACUCAAUUUUGUCUCAGUUUUCGUGGAUGCUAGCCAGCAAGUGACAUAAUUUUGGUUGCCAUUUCUCUAUGUAGCAGAUUCCAUCUGCACAAAAAAUGCUACUGCAAAUUCUUCUAUGUAAAAUAUGAAUAAGGUUCAAUUCACAAAAACAUUUGGAAGUUCGCUUGGGAAA
Molecule: long non-coding RNA, 3070 nt
Organism: Triticum aestivum (bread wheat)
Lineage: Eukaryota; Viridiplantae; Streptophyta; Magnoliopsida; Poales; Poaceae
Exons: 2
Source: RefSeq, a predicted model, not a curated record